Molecule: ribosomal RNA, 405 nt
Filed under: uncultured bacterium
Lineage: Bacteria
Description: partial 16S ribosomal RNA
Rfam family: Bacterial small subunit ribosomal RNA
Source: RNAcentral
AUUGAACGCUAGCGGGAUGCUUUACACAUGCAAGUCGAACGAGUGGCGGAAGGGUGAGAAAUAUAUCUGCCCGUGCCCAGUGGCUGGCGAUACCUACUCGAAAGAGUGACUAAUACCGCAUACUAUUGGAGAGGCCGCUAUCGGAUGAGCUAGUUGGUGGGGUAAAGGCUCACCAAGGCCACGAUCCGUAGCUGGUUUGAGAGGAAGACCAGCCACACUGGGACUGAGACACGGCCCAGACUCCUACGGGAGGCAGCAGUGGGGAAUUUUGGACAAUGGGGGAAACCCUGAUCCAGCCAUCCCGCGUGUAUGAGAAGGCCUUCGGGUUGUAAAGCACUUUUGGCAGAGAAGCGGUAUCUGCAGAAUAAGCACCGGCUAACUACGUGCCAGCCGCCGCGGUAAUAC